Molecule: long non-coding RNA, 1284 nt
Filed under: Gossypium barbadense (sea-island cotton)
Lineage: Eukaryota; Viridiplantae; Streptophyta; Magnoliopsida; Malvales; Malvaceae
Description: long non-coding RNA (GBAR_LNC009300)
Source: RNAcentral
UUGUACUUAAGCCCAAUUUAAAAAAAAAUCCUUCAUUUUCUUUCUUUUUCAGAAGCAGACAGCAGCCCUCCCCCUCCAUUUCUUUUCUCUGCUAGGGUUUCUUAACCCCUCAUCACAGCCGUCGUCACGACGCCACCGUAGACGGUGGUUGAGAUCACGUGAAAGUGGGGUUCUUUAACCCCUGUUUAUAGCGCCCGAAGGCCAUGUCUCAUCAGCCCGAAAAGACGAAAAGGGAGGGCUCUUGACCCCUUUUGGGAUCGAUGACGACGGAAGAGAGCUCUCCGACGACGCAAUCACGGUGGUCUCCGGUGAGCCCUUUUCUUCUUUUUAUUAUUUAUCAUUUUUGUAUAUACAUAUAUAAAUAAAAUAAAAAUAAAAAUAAAACAAUAAAAAAUAAAGCAAAAUAAACAAGAACUUGAAACUAAAGUAAAAACCUUUGAAGCUUUGUUUUUCUGUUUUUUUAUUCUUCUCCGAAAAAAAUCCUCCCUUUUACAUUGGUUUCUCUUCGGCUUUAUAGCCUAUUACAAUAUUAGAAAAUAUUGUCUCUGGUACUGUUCAAUCACUGUUCUAUAUUGUUUCUGCCUCUGUUCUGUAUUGUUUUGCUUCUGUUUCGCCUCUGUCUCUUUGCUAUUUCGGUCUUCUUUGCAAGUUCGGCGUUCGGUCAAUGAAGAAAGGAGCUUGCCAUUUUGGUGCAAGUAGUGCCAGGGUCGAGCCUUGGGCGGUGUGCGAGCCAAGGGCGCACAUGGAGGCUGCGGCGCCAGAAGAGGAUUAGGGUUGCUGAGUUUUCUUAAAAUUUUUGGGUCAUGAGCUCUAGGGUUUUCUGUGUAGUAGGUCAUUUGGGCUUUGUUAUUUUAAGUCAUGUAUUUGGAUAGUAUUAUUAUUAUUAUUUUAUCUUGGACUGUUAUUUGGUUGUAUAAUUUAGGCAUGAGCCGGGGAAAAUAGGCCUGUUACAAAAAAUAAUUGCAACUCCAAUUUAAAAAUUAUUUGCUGAUAGGAAACUAAUCAUUAACAACAUUUUAACUAUUUAAAUUCACAGUCCUAAGUGUUGUUCUAACUUAUUAAACCGUACAAUUAAAAUAAUUUUUUAAUUAAAACAAUUAACAUAAUAUACAUAGACAAUCAUUAAGGACAAAAUGAUCUCUUUUUUUUUUAUUUUUUUACCGUAAACGAUUUGUAAUUCAAUAUUGUACUCCAAUUCGAAUACAAAAUCCUUUAUUAUUAUUUCGACUCAUCCAAAAGGAAAUGACCUAUUCGUAAGUUUGUCACCUGAACCUUCAUGAAGGC